CCUUUCGUAGUGUAGUGGUUAGUACACUCGACGCGUAUUCGAGAGGUCCGUGGUUCGAUUCCCGGCGAGGGCA
Molecule: transfer RNA, 73 nt
Filed under: Stegodyphus mimosarum
Lineage: Eukaryota; Metazoa; Arthropoda; Arachnida; Araneae; Eresidae
Rfam family: tRNA
About the family: Transfer RNA (tRNA) molecules are approximately 80 nucleotides in length.
Source: Rfam by way of RNAcentral